This 253-nucleotide ribosomal RNA is filed under the name uncultured bacterium. RNAcentral describes it as "partial 16S ribosomal RNA". It matches the Rfam family "Bacterial small subunit ribosomal RNA", at positions 524 to 776 of the family's 1533-position model. The record is from RNAcentral.
UACAGAGGUCCCAAGCGUUGUUCGGAUUCAUUGGGCGUAAAGGGUGUGUAGGUGGCGCCGUAAGUCGGGUGUGAAAUCUCGGGGCUUAACUCCGAAACUGCAUUCGAUACUGCGGUGCUUGAGGACUGGAGAGGAGACUGGAAUUCAUGGUGUAGCAGUGAAAUGCGUAGAGAUCAUGAGGAAGACCAGUGGCGAAGGCGGGUCUCUGGACAGUUCCUGACACUGAGACACGAAGGCCAGGGGAGCAAACGGG